GGAUAACCUGCCCUUGGGACCGGGAUAACCCCGGGAAACUGGGGAUAAUACCGGAUAACGCAUAUCUGCUGGAAUGCUUUAUGCGUAAAAUGGAUUUGUCUGCCCAAGGAUGGGUCUGCGGCCUAUCAGGUAGUAGUGGGUGUAAUGUACCUACUAGCCUACGACGGGUACGGGUUGUGAGAGCAAGAGCCCGGAGAUGGAUUCUGAGACAUGAAUCCAGGCCCUACGGGGCGCAGCAGGCGCGAAAACUUUACAAUGCGGGAAACCGUGAUAAGGGGACACCGAGUGCCAGCAUCAUAUGUUGGCUGUCCAGAUGUGUAAAAUACAUCUGUUAGCAAGGGCCGGGCAAGACCGGUGCCAGCCGCCGCGGUAACACCGGCGGCCCGAGUGGUGAUCGUGAUUAUUGGGUCUAAAGGGUCCGUAGCCGGUUUGGUCAGUCCUCCGGGAAAUCUGACGGCUCAACCGUUAGGCUUUCGGUGGAUACUGCCAGACUUGGAACCGGGAGAGGUAAGAGGUACUACAGGGGUAGGAGUGAAAUCUUGUAAUCCCUGUGAGACCACCUGUGGCGAAGGCGUCUUACCAGAACGGGUUCGACGGUGAGGGACGAAAGCUGGGGGCACGAACCGGAUUAGAUACCCGGGUAGUCCCAGCCGUAAACGAUGCUCGCUGGGUGUCAGGCAUGGCGCGACCGUGUCUGGUGCCGCAGGGAAGCCGUGAAGCGAGCCACCUGGGAAGUACGGCCGCAAGGCUGAAACU
RNAcentral lists this ribosomal RNA (756 nucleotides) under uncultured archaeon. RNAcentral's name for it is "bacterial SSU rRNA". It matches the Rfam family "Archaeal small subunit ribosomal RNA", at positions 102 to 856 of the family's 1478-position model. The record is from RNAcentral.